GUCAGCUUUCUAUUCAUCAUGAGAGUAGACUCUCAAGACAAUUUACUAGCAGUGGAGUUAGACUCUGGACUUAUUCUGCCUCCUCACAUGUAAUAGAGAAGUGGAUUCAUCUAAUCUAAAAGAACUGGCCCAUGUAUGCGAUAGGUGAACCCAUGAAGGUCUAAUCCCUGGCUACAAGGGGAGGCUGUGACUUCCACCUCUGCUGUGAGUUAGAGGUGGCAUAUGGCACCAUUGUCAGGAAGAUGCUGUUGUUGGUCUUUUCUACUUGAGGAGGAACAAUGCCAUCAUAAUGUUGGUGUCAGGGUACCAUGAGUCUGUGGCUGAUCGGUCUAAUAUGAGUUUGGAAGACUCUACCACAGAUUGGGCAUGAAUAGUUUGGAAUUGGAUGUCUCUAGAUUUGUGCAUCUCACAUUUCCUCUGCUGUGAUUCUGCUUUGCUCAUAGACUACAGUGCCAGUAGCCUAGCAGAGGAAGGGCAGGUUUUCUUGGCAAAGAUAUUGGAAUGGUUUGCCAUUUCCUUACCAGCUUAUUUAAUGGAAGAGGAACUGAAGUAGAUAGGGGUAAGUGAUUUUAUUAAGGUCCCAGAUCUAAUGAGUAAU
This 598-nucleotide long non-coding RNA is filed under the name Monodelphis domestica (gray short-tailed opossum). RNAcentral's name for it is "lncRNA (ENSMODG00000045433.1)". The record is from RNAcentral. Lineage: Eukaryota; Metazoa; Chordata; Mammalia; Didelphimorphia; Didelphidae.